Molecule: ribosomal RNA, 466 nt
Filed under: uncultured bacterium
Lineage: Bacteria
Description: partial 16S ribosomal RNA
Rfam family: Bacterial small subunit ribosomal RNA
Source: RNAcentral
GACGAACGCUGGCGGCGUGCUUAACACAUGCAAGUCGAACGGAAAGGCCCUGCUUGCAGGGUACUCGAGUGGCGAACGGGUGAGUAACACGUGGGUGAUCUGCCCUGCACUUCGGGAUAAGCCUGGGAAACUGGGUCUAAUACCGGAUAGGAGCCAUUUUUAGUGUGAUGGUUGGAGAGUUUUUUUCGGUGUAGGAUGAGCUCGCGGCCUAUCAGCUUGUUGGUGGGGUAAUGGCCUACCAAGGCGGCGACGGGUAGCCGGCCUGAGAGGGUGGACGGCCACAUUGGGACUGAGAUACGGCCCAGACUCCUACGGGAGGCAGCAGUGGGGAAUAUUGCACAAUGGGCGCAAGCCUGAUGCAGCGACGCCGCGUGGGGGAUGACGGCCUUCGGGUUGUAAACUCCUUUCGCUAGGGACGAAGCUUUUUGUGACGGUACCUAGAUAAGAAGCACCGGCUAACUACGUG